CCUGAUUACAAGUGGGUUUGGAAAGCUAAGAUACCUUUGAAGAUCAAAAAAUUUCUCUGGCAACUGUUUCAGAAUGCUGUCCCCAUCAGGGACAAUAUGCAUAAAAGAAACUGGCCAGGGAAUCCAGUUUGCUCUUUUUGCCGUGAUGUUGAAACCAGUGAUCAUCUCUUUUUUGGGUGUGUGGUUGCCCGCUCGGUUUGGGGGUCUUUUGGGAUGGCCUUUGGGGCACCCUGUUGUCCCAAAUCUCUCUGGCAAAGUUGGGCUUGGCUGUACAAGUACCUCCCGGGUGCAAAACACCAUUAUAUGUCCAUUAUUGCUGCUAUUUGCUGGGGGAUUUGGUGCAUUCAUAACAAAGUGACUUUUGAAAAACAUAUCGUUCAUUCUCCAGUGGAGGUUGUUUUCACUGCUUGUUCCUUUUUGGUGCACUAG
This 429-nucleotide ribosomal RNA is filed under the name Triticum aestivum (bread wheat). RNAcentral describes it as "partial small subunit ribosomal RNA". The record is from RNAcentral. Lineage: Eukaryota; Viridiplantae; Streptophyta; Magnoliopsida; Poales; Poaceae.